AUGCAAGUCGAGCGGAGAGAGGUAGCUUGCUACUGAUCUUAGCGGCGGACGGGUGAGUAAUGCUUAGGAAUCUGCCUAUUAGUGGGGGACAACAUUUCGAAAGGAAUGCUAAUACCGCAUACGUCCUACGGGAGAAAGCAGGGGAUCUUCGGACCUUGCGCUAAUAGAUGAGCCUAAGUCGGAUUAGCUAGUUGGUGGGGUAAAGGCCUACCAAGGCGACGAUCUGUAGCGGGUCUGAGAGGAUGAUCCGCCACACUGGGACUGAGACACGGCCCAGACUCCUACGGGAGGCAGCAGUGGGGAAUAUUGGACAAUGGGCGCAAGCCUGAUCCAGCCAUGCCGCGUGUGUGAAGAAGGCCUUAUGGUUGUAAAGCACUUUAAGCGAGGAGGAGGCUACUUUAGUUAAUACCUAGAGAUAGUGGACGUUACUCCGCAGAAUAAGCACCGGCUAACUUCUGGGCCAGCAGCCGCGGUAUACGAAGGGGGCAAGCGGUUAUCGAUUUACUGGGCGUAAGC
This 516-nucleotide ribosomal RNA is filed under the name Acinetobacter calcoaceticus. RNAcentral describes it as "bacterial SSU rRNA". It matches the Rfam family "Bacterial small subunit ribosomal RNA", at positions 55 to 565 of the family's 1533-position model. Lineage: Bacteria; Pseudomonadati; Pseudomonadota; Gammaproteobacteria; Moraxellales; Moraxellaceae. The record is from RNAcentral.